UACGUAGGGUCCGAGCGUUGUCCGGAAUUAUUGGGCGUAAAGGGCUCGUAGGCGGUUUGUCGCGUCGGGAGUGAAAACUCAGGGCUCAACCCUGAGCGUGCUUCCGAUACGGGCAGACUAGAGGUAUGCAGGGGAGAACGGAAUCCUGGUGUAGCGGUGGAAUGCGCAGAUAUCAGGAGGAACACCGGUGGCGAAGGCGGUUCUCUGGGCAUUACCUGACGCUGAGGAGCGAAAGCAUGGGGAGCGAACAGG
Molecule: ribosomal RNA, 252 nt
Filed under: uncultured bacterium
Lineage: Bacteria
Description: partial 16S ribosomal RNA
Rfam family: Bacterial small subunit ribosomal RNA
Source: RNAcentral